Gossypium raimondii (Peruvian cotton) is the source of this 935-nucleotide RNA transcript. It is a transcript of the gene named signal recognition particle 54 kDa protein, chloroplastic, with no coding region annotated. The record is from RefSeq and is a predicted model, not a curated record. The transcript has 3 exons. NCBI's taxonomy places the organism in Eukaryota, Viridiplantae, Streptophyta, Magnoliopsida, Malvales, Malvaceae.
CAUUAUGCGUCUUAGAAAUUCGUGUUUAUUUCCAUGCAAAGACACAUACGAUGCGCCCAGAGCGAUGUUUCUACUGCUUUCCCCCCUUUGGUUCCCCUGCAGCUUCCUUCUCCAACGAUGACGAGCAGAAGAGUUUGGCUCUUCUAAAUCAGUAUUCUGAAAUAUUAUCAUGUGAAAGAGACCAGCUGAAGAAAAGAGCUCUGCUUGCUCAAGCCUUGCCGCUGCCAGAUGUAGGUGGGAGUUCCUGUUUAUAAAGCGGGAACUGAGGUUAAACCGUGUGAAAUAGAAAAGAAAGGUUUAGAAGAGGCCAAAAAGAAGAAGGUAGUUGUAGGACGGCUUCAGGUAAUAUCAAUAGCAUCUGUCAUGAAAUUUGACGCAACAUCCUCAGGUUAUUCAUCCAGCUUUGUCUGCAACUCUAUAUAUACACUUAUUUGGAAAGUUUUGUGCAACUAUAAACUCGUUUAAGAUUGAUGGAAUUCUAACUGUACUCGUAUGCCAAUUCAAUUAUUUUUAGGCAAGCUAUAUUCUGUAAUAAUUUAUGUUUUUUGUUGUUUCUCCCAUGUAUAAGGCUCCUCCUGGUUCUGCAAGAAGAACGAGGAGAUCAGAAUCCAGAAGGCAGUUUGCAGAAUACGCAUCAACAAGACCAAGUCCACGUGGUUUUGGUGCAAAGAACUAGGAAACUGAUCAAGUUUUAAGAACAGCAGGACUGUUCAUUAUCUACUUGCAGUGCAAACCGAGUUUCAGAGGUUUCUUAAGAGCUGUGAGAACUCGUCGCAUUUUGAUGGUUAGUACGAAAUUAUAGAGGUGUUCACCCUGCAAAAUUCAAUAGUAUAUACUUUUUAACUUGUUUCUCAAUGGCUACUAAUAUCAGAUAUGAUCCAUAUUGAACGAAAGCAAUUUUCAUAGAAAUCUAAACUGUGUUAUCAAUAUUCUUG